CUUAAGAUGAAAUUUAAGAUUGGGCCUGCUCACUGAUAAUUUAAAGAGCUGCGGUAUUUUGACCGUGCAAAGGUAGCAUAAUCAUUAGUCUUUUAAUUGGGGACUGGAAUGAAAGGUUUGACGAAAUAAUAACUGUCUUUUGAGAAUGAAUUGAAUUUUAUAUUUAAGUUAAAAAGCUUAAAUUUUUAUAAGGGACGAGAAGACCCUAUAGAUUUUUAUAUUAAUGUUGUUAAUCGAGUUUUGGAUUGGAUAAUAAUAAUUGAAAUAUUUGGUUGGGGUGAUUUUAGAAUAAGGAAACUUCUAUUAAAUUUAACAAAAAUAGUUGGAUUUUGGAUCCUAUAUUAGGGAUAAAAGAUUAAAAUACCUUAGGGAUAACAGCGUAAUUUUGUUUGAGAGUUCAAAUCGAGAAUAAAGAUUGCGACCUCGAUGUUGGAUUAAGAGUAUUUUUUGGUGCAGAAGUUAAAAUAAUAAGUCUGUUC
Molecule: ribosomal RNA, 479 nt
Filed under: Rhicnogryllus viettei
Lineage: Eukaryota; Metazoa; Arthropoda; Insecta; Orthoptera; Trigonidiidae
Description: partial 16S ribosomal RNA
Rfam family: Bacterial large subunit ribosomal RNA
Source: RNAcentral